CCUGCCAGAUAGCAGGUCAUCGGAAUGUGGUCUUCGGGACUGAACCGGCCA
Molecule: non-coding RNA, 51 nt
Filed under: unclassified sequences
Source: RNAcentral